AUUGAACGCUGGCGGCAGGCCUAACACAUGCAAGUCGAACGGUAGCAGAACUAGCUUGCUAGUUGCUGACGAGUGGCGAACGGGUGAGUAACGCGUGGGAAUCUACCUGGUAGUGGGGGAUAACAGUCGGAAACGACUGCUAAUACCGCAUACGUCCUAAGGGAGAAAGCGGGGGAUCUUCGGACCUCGUGCUAUCAGAUGAGCCCGCGUCGGAUUAGCUAGUUGGUGGGGUAAGGGCCUACCAAGGCGACGAUCCGUAGCUGGUCUGAGAGGAUGAUCAGCCACACUGGAACUGAGACACGGUCCAGACUCCUACGGGAGGCAGCAGUGGGGAAUAUUGGACAAUGGGCGCAAGCCUGAUCCAGCCAUGCCGCGUGUGUGAAGAAGGCCCUAGGGUUGUAAAGCACUUUCAGCAGGGAGGAAAGGUUGUACGUUAAUACCGUGCAACUGUGACGUUACCUGCAGAAGAAGCACCGGCUAACUCCGUGCCAGCAGCCGCCGCGG
This 504-nucleotide ribosomal RNA is filed under the name uncultured bacterium. RNAcentral's name for it is "partial 16S ribosomal RNA". It matches the Rfam family "Bacterial small subunit ribosomal RNA", at positions 30 to 523 of the family's 1533-position model. The record is from RNAcentral.